GUGGAGCAGAGGCAAGGAGAGUGGAAAAUUACUGACAGAGGGGAGGAGGAGUUCCACGUCUGGCUCUCUCUGCAGGCAGGAGGGAUUGCCUGCAAGCCGGAGACACCUGCUCCAGCGACGACACCUGCAGCCCGCGACUGCGCACCCUCAGGCAGUGUGUGGCGGGAGACGGCAGUGUGAAGCUCGGGCCCGGGGCGCGAAACCAAUGUGAGAACGCCAUGACGGCGCUGCUGUCCACUCCUCUCCACGGCUGCCAAUGUAAACGAGGGAUGAAGAAGGAGAAGAACUGCUUGAGUAUCUACUGGAGUCUGCAUCAGUCUGUGCUGCACGGACUCAGCCUGGUGGAGAGCUACCCGUAUGAACCCGAGGAGAGGGGCUCUGACUACGUUCGUCUGGCCUCCAUUGCUGCAGGUGAGUGGG
Notolabrus celidotus (New Zealand spotty) is the source of this 420-nucleotide long non-coding RNA. RefSeq lists it as uncharacterized. The transcript is spliced from 3 exons. Lineage: Eukaryota; Metazoa; Chordata; Actinopteri; Labriformes; Labridae. The record is from RefSeq and is a predicted model, not a curated record.